CUGCAUGCGGCUGCUAUACAUGCAGUCGAGCGAUGAUUGAAGAUAGCUUGCUAUUUUCAUGAAGAGCGGCGAACGGGUGAGUAACGCGUGGGAAAUCUGCCGAGUAGCGGGGGACAACGUUUGGAAACGAACGCUAAUACCGCAUAACAAUGAGAAUCGCAUGAUUCUUAUUUGAAAGAAGCAAUUGCUUCACUACUUGAUGAUCCCGCGUUGUAUUAGCUAGUUGGUAGUGUAAAGGACUACCAAGGCGAUGAUACAUAGCCGACCUGAGAGGGUGAUCGGCCACACUGGGACUGAGACACGGCCCAGACUCCUACGGGAGGCAGCAGUAGGGAAUCUUCGGCAAUGG
RNAcentral lists this ribosomal RNA (349 nucleotides) under uncultured Lactococcus sp. RNAcentral's name for it is "bacterial SSU rRNA". It matches the Rfam family "Bacterial small subunit ribosomal RNA", at positions 39 to 374 of the family's 1533-position model. Lineage: Bacteria; Bacillati; Bacillota; Bacilli; Lactobacillales; Streptococcaceae. The record is from RNAcentral.